RNAcentral lists this ribosomal RNA (355 nucleotides) under uncultured bacterium. Its description in RNAcentral is "partial 16S ribosomal RNA". It matches the Rfam family "Bacterial small subunit ribosomal RNA", at positions 338 to 710 of the family's 1533-position model. The record is from RNAcentral.
CCUACGGGAGGCAGCAGUAGGGAAUAUUGCUCAAUGGGGGAAACCCUGAAGCAGCAACGCCGCGUGGAGGAUGAAGGUUUUCGGAUUGUAAACUCCUUUUGUUAGAGAAGAUAAUGACGGUAUCUAACGAAUAAGCACCGGCUAACUCCGUGCCAGCAGCCGCGGUAAUACGGAGGGUGCAAGCGUUACCCGGAAUUACUGGGCGUAAAGAGAGCGUAGGCGGGAUUGCAAGUCAGCUGUGAAAUCCUAUGGCUUAACCAUAGAACUGCAUUUGAAACUGUUAUUCUAGAGUACGGGAGAGGUAAGUGGAAUUCUUGGUGUAGCGGUAAAAUGCGUAGAGAUUAAGAGGAAUACU